Molecule: long non-coding RNA, 1368 nt
Organism: Macadamia integrifolia
Lineage: Eukaryota; Viridiplantae; Streptophyta; Magnoliopsida; Proteales; Proteaceae
Exons: 2
Source: RefSeq, a predicted model, not a curated record
CGUGGACUAACACCCCUUUGCUUGUGUCUCGUGUCACCUCCCAUGUGAAUGUUACACCCAGAAACGCCUCAACAAACCCCUCCUACUCUCUGCAAUAUACCACCGGGUACAAAAGUACCCGCCGCCUUGCAGAGAGAAAUUCCCCAGUCCUAAUCUUGUCAAUGUACAGAGCAGCCUCUCACCUCUUCCUUCCUUUAUUUUUUUUUUUUUUUUUCGAUUUGGAUUGUACUUCGGAAAACUCCUUAUCAGUUCCAUAGUUGUUCGAUCUUUUGUUAGUACUUAAUCUCGUGAUUGGUAGCUACUGCAUCCCGUCUAACAUUAGUGUCAUGUUAAAAUCGAAGAAUAUCAUCACCCAAGCAUAUGUAGAUUGAUUUGCACUGUUCGAUUGCUAUAAUGCUACAGCACUGGAAGGUGAUAGAGUAAUCAUAUAGACCUCCCAAGUAAUACAAGCUUAUGACUCCGACCCACCUACACACAUAGACAACCAGAUGUUUAUCCAAGAAAUGAAGAUACAACCAUAUUAUUAAUGAAGUGGGUUGGGAAGGCUUUCAAAUCUUCAAGAGUUGCUGGGGUUUAGACCUGCAAGAUCAAACCAAUUAGAAGGGUGUUGUAUUUCAGAGUUGAAGGGCUUGAUCCAACUUAGAAAGCUUGAAUUACGGUUAGCAAGGGGGUGAUGAGAUUGGAGAUGAUGAGGUGAAUGUUCUGUUACAUCUUCAACAGCUGCAAAUUUUAACCACAAGUUGUUUUGACAGUCAUGGUGGUGAUCUUGUGGCAAAGAUGAAUAAACUCUGUCCUCCUCAACAACUUCAUGAGCUUCGUCUCAAUUUCUUUCUAGGGGAGAUGAGUCCAACUUGGCUCAACCCUAUUUCACUUCCAAUACUAUGGUAUCUUUCUAUCUGUUCAGGAAAUAUGGCGAAAAUGAACCAGAGAUUUUGGGGUACAGCAACUUGUGUCUGGAAGAUAGAGGGCUUAAUGUUGGAGUCCUUGUCAGAUUUAGAAGGGGAGUGGGCAGCAGUUCAUCAAGCAAUGCCUUCCCUUAGAUUUGUGAUUGUUUCUUGGUGCCCAAAGUUGGAAUCUUUCCCAAUUGAAGAUGCUGGGUUUAGAGUAGGGGUGUGGAAAAAGGAAGAACAAAGGACAUCGAAAAUAUAUGGAUUAGGUUUGGAAGUGUCAUUGUAAUUUAUCAUUUUUCUUUGCCUUGUAGUGUUAUUGUUAUGUAUAAUUUAUUUGUAUUUUCCAGAAUUUGGAGUGAGUGCUUCCAUAACUAGGAGAAAUAUGAAUGCUGUCAGUCUGGUGUGAUUAUUUGGCAAUGGGAGGAAUCAUGCUCUGUAAGUUGCCUUACUAUGAUGAAUGGAGGAGAAUUGCAGAAAA